This is a long non-coding RNA of Acanthochromis polyacanthus (spiny chromis), 2663 nucleotides long. RefSeq lists it as uncharacterized. The record is from RefSeq and is a predicted model, not a curated record. Lineage: Eukaryota; Metazoa; Chordata; Actinopteri; Pomacentridae. The transcript has 2 exons.
GGCAGGGAGCCGAUGGGAUGGACGCCAUGGUUACAGUGAACAGCCUUGCUCUGCAAAGCCUGGCUACAGCAGGAACGACGCCUGCAGCUGAUCUUUAUCAGGGCUCGCUUGGGAUCAAGAAUACCAGAUAGAGAUUACAGUGAUGCAACAUGUCGAUGGAGGUUCCUCCUUAAUCUGUGGACUGGAGUCAGUUCGAUCGGUCUUCAGAUAGCACCCACGGCACCACUGUAACCAUGACAACAAGUGAACACUACAUCAGCUGCCUGAUGAUGAUCUCAUGACUGUGAUCCUACUACAAAUCCACCGCUGGGGACCACGAGUAUUUGAAGGAUUUCAUCCGUACUGCGCUCUCCAAGUGUUUUUCUUUAUAUUGAUGAUCUUAUCUUCCUUCUCGAAGUUGAUUCUUUAGUGCAGUUACUACUCUGAUGUGUUUCUAUUUUUUAUUUUUUUUGCCUAGUUGUCUACCCUAACAUUAAAAAUAUUUGGAACAUUUUAGCCCGUUAAUUGGACAAAACAAGCAACCUUUGGGAAAGCAGAAGGAGUAUUUUUUUUGCCACACUUUAUAGAACAAAUACAACAUAGAGAACUUAAUCUCCAGAAGAAAUGAUAAAACAGACUAGGUUUUAAUUUCUUUUAAAAGAGCCCAGUGUUGCUCAUCUCUGUAGGUCACACUGUGUAGUCUUUUAGAAAUGACUGGACUUACAUAGCAUCACGAGAGAGAAACUACAACAAAUCCACCGCUGUGGACCACAAAUUUUUAAAAAGUCAUUCAACGACUGAGCAGCCUUGGCAGAGUACUUGCUUUUCUUGUUACUGAUUUGUUUUUAAACAGAUUUCAACUAAAUAAAUGAAUGUAAAAAUGUGUAAUUUGGCAUUACUUUGAUUCUCUAGAUGUAGAUCAUGGGUAUAAGCCUGCCACUGACUGUGCAUUUUACACAGCUUUCUCCUCCCCUUCCCAUAGCUACGUGUCACUGAACACCACCAGUGUGUCCUGUUCUUAACCUCGCCCAAAACAAUCAUGAUUGCUUUGAGGAAAUUCCAACACUUUUUAUCUUCUAUGGCAGAAUGAUAGUGAGUUGUAGUCAGACCAUUCUAUACAACGGUUCAGAAGCAGCCACCUUAGUUUGUAGUCAACUCUGUGAUCUUGAGUGAGGUCCUGCCCACAGCACUAAAUAGCUAUGCAUCACAAUAAAUACCCUAUCAACACUGAACAACAGAUGAUGAAACAAAGAUAUUUAAACAAAGUUUUAAUCUAAAGUUUGUGUGGUUCCAAAUUUUGACAGCAACAUUUAGAUUUUCACUGCAAAUGUAAAUGUACAUCGGUUCCAAAUAUUAGAACAUGCUAACAUGUUUACUACUGAUUUGUAUCAGCCUGAAAAAAUAUCUAUUUUUACACAUUAAAUUCAGUUUCAAGUGAUUCAGUUGGAUUGCAAGACUAAGAGUUAGAAAUUAAAAAGAGGGCAGAGGGUCCUACUACCUUGGUAGUGUCUACAGAUACGGACCCGUACCCGUAGCCUGUGGACUACGGACACGGCACUUUCCAUUUGCCAGACAGAUACGGACCCGUACGCGAGUCUCGCGAGUCAAGAAGCUGCUAACCACUGCAAACUGUUGAAAGGUAAGCAGAGGUUAAGGUUAGGGUUAGUGUUAGGGUCAGGUUUAGGGUCCGUACCUGUAGUACCGACGCUACAGGUCCAUACCUCUAGCGUCUACCGGGAGUCACGUGACCAGAUCUCGUGGAUCUGAUUGGCAAAUGGAAAGUGCCGUAUCCGUAGGCCGCAGGCUGCGGGUCCAUACCUCUAGCAACAACCAACUACCUUAACUACUACCAGUGCAGGUUGAUUUGUGGGUAAUGUAGGCACCAGACCUUUAGAAAGAAAAACAAUUAAAAACAUGAUGUCACUAAUUUGAUUUGAGAUAUUUUUGUGAUUUGAGAUAUUGUUUUAUUCAGUGCGAUUUCAAAAAAAUUUUUUUUGACACACAUAUUUUAUAUAAGAGCUUCAGUAAAAAGCAACACGAUUCUCUUUAUGCUUCCUGAAGACAUUCUACCCCUCAUCACUUUAACUAUGUUCUUGGGGUUUACUAGGUCAUUUUCAGUCUUCGUCAGUGACUAAAAAUCAACUUAAAUAAAAGAGGGUUAGAUAAACAAAGAGUUAAAUAAAAAGUGAAGAGAAAGAAAAAGUUGGCUGAACAGGCCACACUUGUUACAAGCUUACAGUCUGUUGAAGGUGUAGUUUAAGCUUUAUGAGACCGCCAAACCCGUUUUCAGUGUGUAUCACUGGUUUUGGAUGAUGUCCAUUUUUGGAUGCCAUUUCAAAACAGACAGCUUUAAGAGACUUCCUGUAAUAUAGUGAAAUAUCACAAAAUGACUAGAUUCCAUUUUUUUAUUCAUCACAUGUACAUACAGUGUUGCAGUGAAUUACAGUGACUGUCCACCAGGUUUAGAAAGACAAAAUGUUAAAAUAGGUAAAAAUGAGUGGUGGGACAUGAUUUAAAAAUAUCUAAUUAAUUAGAGGCUUUGUAAUUAAUAAAUGGCGAUUUAAUCACAUUUCUGUCAAAUAGCAAUAUUUGACACAAUAAGUGAAGUUUUUCAAUUCAAACAAAUGCUGGUUCACGACUGAAUGGAUGAAUAAACAUAAAUAAAUGUGAACUUAAACGACAAA